Long non-coding RNA from Mesocricetus auratus (golden hamster), 2635 nucleotides. RefSeq lists it as uncharacterized. The transcript has 2 exons. The record is from RefSeq and is a predicted model, not a curated record. NCBI's taxonomy places the organism in Eukaryota, Metazoa, Chordata, Mammalia, Rodentia, Cricetidae.
UGUGUGCGUGUGUGCGCACAUGCCUCCUCCGUGCUGCCCUUUGGGAUCUGUGCUCUGCUGGAUUGGGGAAGCGUGGCUGGGAAGUACGGUGCUGGCCCAGCUUGUGCAAAGCCCUGGUUUCUGACUGCAGUCUUGAAAAAGACGGAAAAAGUGGGAAAUUGGGAAGGGCAAUCUCUCCCUCUAUGCCUCAGAGCACAUGUCUGGGCGGGGCCGAGGCCGACGAGCUGGGCAGAUGCGAGGGUGGGUGGCAGGCACAGCCAAGGGCCAGAGCUCAAAGGCAGAGCUGGUCCCGCUGCAGCAGAGCUGGGCAAAGCUCGGGAAAGGCCACGGGCUCCCGCCGUUCGCGUUCCAAGUGCUCAAGCUUAAACGCAGGCGCUUUCUAAGUCCGAGUGCCAAGCCACUUCCAGUAAGUCUCAUUGUCAGCUACGAAAAUAACUGCUCUGGAAGCUGUCACAGCUAUGAUGCUGCGGGGCCAUGCCACAGGACCGCAGUGGCCUCUGUGCCCUGAGGGCUCAAGUCUCCUGGUCCAGCCUCAACUUCUUUGUUUUUUGAGACAAGGUUUCUCUAGCUGUCCUGGAACUCGAUCUGUAGACCAGGCUGGCCUUGAACUUACAGAGAUCCGCCUGCCUCUGCCUCCCGAGUGCUGGGACUAAAGGCGUGCCCCACCAACGCCCGGCGAUGUUGCCUGUCUUUACACAUGCACAUGUGGAAGUCGAAGGACUACUUCCGGCGUCUGUCCCCUCUUUCCACCAUGUGUGUCCUUGGGAUCAAACUUAGGUCAUCAGGCUUUACCUGCUGGACCAUCCAACUGGCCCAUUUUCUGCUGUUUGAGACAGAGGCUCCCGCAGCCCUGGCUGACUGGCCUCUGACAUUGAGAGUGGACUUGAACUCCUGAUCCCCUGUGGCCUUUCUGUCUGUGCCCUUCCCUUUGGUUAUUGAACUUUUAAAACAAUGGACCCCAUGAAAUCAGAGGUCUCCCAGGGGGAAGGCUGAGGUCCUGGGGCAGGCAGUGGAAAUGCUCUCUGUAGGAGAGCCAGCUUGUCACACAGCCUGGCAGGAACAACAAUGAGGGCCAGUUGUGACCACUUGGUUCUGGGAAUUUAUUUCCAUUUACUUGUUUAUUUGCUCAUUCCUCAGUUCCUUCAUUCAUCGAGAUCAAGGACGACCUGCUUCCCUCACACCCUGUGGGGCCUGCGGACGGAAUUCAGGUCUUCAGGCCUGGCAGCAAGAGCCUGAGCCCCUGACCAGCCCCUGCUGCGUGUUAUACUGAAGGCAGAAUCUCAGGGUUCCCCACUUUGGUUUCAUUCCCUGGACUUAAGGGAAUGUCUUGACGAGAUGGGACCACACUCCAGCUACUGAUACAGAAUGUGAAGAUUCCUGAGCAAGACCAAGUACUGCUCUGUGGCUGUGGCCCAGUGGGUAGCACACACUCCCAGCAUGCACCAGGCCCUGGGCUCCAUCCCAACAUGAGCCAGGUGGCACACCCAUGUCAUCCAAGCAAGGGAAAUGGAGGCAGAAGGAUCACGUGUUCAAAGUGAUCCAUGACUAUGUGGCAUACUAAGGGCUAGCCUGAGCUACAUGAGAAUGUUUGAAAAACUUAGUCAUAACCAGCAUGCUCAGUGUGACCAGGCCUCACCCAGGAAGAAUACUGAAGUAAAUUUACAGGUACCAUUGUCUUGUGUUUGAUGUUGUACUGGGUUCCAAGAAAGGUGACAGAAACCCAAGAGGUCAGUUUGUGAGCCAGGACUGACCGGUUCUCUGACCUUGGGAAGAAUUAGGACCUGACCUAGGUAGUUCAGUUGACAUGACAAAGAAAGUUCCUCCCGUCUUCAGCCUCACAAAAGAGGCCACCUACAGAAGUCAGGCCAGUCAAGCCCAGAUUUUUCUAUUGUUUGUUUCUAGUUGCAAAGAGGGUAACUUUGAAAUGUCUAAUUUGCAUGAUUUCCCUUAAAAAAAAAAAAACGAGUAUAGCGGGAGGGUGUGGUACCCAUGAUCCUCCAGUGUCAGCCUCCUGACUCCCUGCUUUCCUACCCCACAAACACCAUUUGUUUCUUCUUUCAGCCUUUAAAGCAUUUUCUGUCUGUAGGCUGUCACCCCAGCCCUUCAGAGGUAGAAAAUCCAGAGUUCGAAGUCAUCCACACUGCCUGGGACACUUAAGACGCUGCCUCAAAACCUAAAAAAAAAAAGAAAACAAACAUCCAUAAAAACAUACAACCAACUUUGCUGGAGGAUGUGCGUGCAUGUCAAGGACCGUGGUGUACGUGUGGAGGUCAGAGGACAACUUGCAGGAGUCAGCCCCUUCCGUCACUCGGGCUCCAAGGACAGAACUCUGGUCCUCAGCUGGCAGCAAUCACCUUGGUCCACUCUCAUCUCACUGGCCAGCGAGACUUCUUUAGAAACAGAGUCUCACUGCACAUCCCCGGACGGCCUGAGCCUCACUGCACAUCCCUGGACGGCCUGAGUCUCGCUGCACAUCCCCGGACGGCCUGAGUCUGCCUGUCUCUGUCUCCCUUGUGCUGGGACUGUCCAUCAGCCAGAAACAAAGCAAAGCCCACCGUACAGAACCACGCAGAGUCCACACAGCACAGUGCUGCCCCAUCGUGGAAUUUCUAUGGAAUAAACGAGAUAACGAUCA